UCGUCCAGGGGGCCGCCUUCGCCACCGGUAUUCCUCCAGAUCUCUACGCAUUUCACCGCUACACCUGGAAUUCUACCCCCCUCUACGAGACUCAAGCUUGCCAGUAUCAGAUGCAGUUCCCAGGUUGAGCCCGGGGAUUUCACAUCUGACUUAACAAACCGCCUGCGUGCGCUUUACGCCCAGUAAUUCCGAUUAACGCUUGCACCCUCCGUAUUACCGCGGCUGCUGGCACGGAGUUAGCCGGUGCUUCUUCUGCGGGUAACGUCAAUGAGCAAAGGUAUUAACUUUACUCCCUUCCUCCCCGCUGAAAGUACUUUACAACCCGAAGGCCUUCUUCAUACACGCGGCAUGGCUGCAUCAGGCUUGCGCCCAUUGUGCAAUAUUCCCCACUGCUGCCUCCCGUAGGAGUCUGGACCGUGUCUCAGUUCCAGUGUGGCUGGUCAUCCUCUCAGACCAGCUAGGGAUCGUCGCCUAGGUGAGCCGUUACCCCACCUACUAGCUAAUCCCAUCUGGGCACAUCCGAUGGCAAGAGGCCCGAAGGUCCCCCUCUUUGGUCUUGCGACGUUAUGCGGUAUUAGCUACCGUUUCCAGUAGUUAUCCCCCUCCAUCAGGCAGUUUCCCAGACAUUACUCACCCGUCCGCCACUCGUCAGCGAAGNAGCAAGCUGCUUCCUGUUACCGUUCGACUUGCAUGUGUUAG
Molecule: ribosomal RNA, 699 nt
Filed under: Shigella sp.
Lineage: Bacteria; Pseudomonadati; Pseudomonadota; Gammaproteobacteria; Enterobacterales; Enterobacteriaceae
Description: partial 16S rRNA
Source: RNAcentral